This 634-nucleotide ribosomal RNA is filed under the name uncultured Marinobacter sp. RNAcentral's name for it is "bacterial SSU rRNA". It matches the Rfam family "Bacterial small subunit ribosomal RNA", at positions 870 to 1504 of the family's 1533-position model. Lineage: Bacteria; Pseudomonadati; Pseudomonadota; Gammaproteobacteria; Pseudomonadales; Marinobacteraceae. The record is from RNAcentral.
CGCCUGGGGAGUGCGGCCGCAAGGUUAAAACUCAAAUGAAUUGACGGGGGCCCGCACAAGCGGUGGAGCAUGUGGUUUAAUUCGACGCAACGCGAAGAACCUUACCUGGCCUUGACAUGCAGAGAACUUUCCAGAGAUGGAUUGGUGCCUUCGGGAACUCUGACACAGGUGCUGCAUGGCCGUCGUCAGCUCGUGUCGUGAGAUGUUGGGUUAAGUCCCGUAACGAGCGCAACCCCUAUCCCUAGUUGCUAGCAGUUCGGCUGAGAACUCUAGGGAGACUGCCGGUGACAAACCGGAGGAAGGUGGGGAUGACGUCAGGUCAUCAUGGCCCUUACGGCCAGGGCUACACACGUGCUACAAUGGUGCGCACAGAGGGCUGCAAACCCACGAGGGGGAGCCAAUCUCACAAAACGCAUCGUAGUCCGGAUCGCAGUCUGCAACUCGACUGCGUGAAGUCGGAAUCGCUAGUAAUCGUGAAUCAGAAUGUCACGGUGAAUACGUUCCCGGGCCUUGUACACACCGCCCGUCACACCAUGGGAGUGGAUUGCACCAGAAGUGGUUAGUCUAACCUUCGGGAGGACGAUCACCACGGUGUGGUUCAUGACUGGGGUGAAGUCGUAACAAGGUAACCGUA